CCGCUAUAUCCUACUUUCCCUCUCAACUCAUUGUCUGCAACAUGAUCUUCAAAGAAAAAAAAAAACAAACCCUUGAUCUACUCUCAAUCUCUCAAUUACACACCUUUCCACAAGCCCAAACACCCCUCUCGAUCACCCGUCCCCCUCGACAGAAGGCCGGCCGGCUGCCGGUGGUUCGGUGGCUUGGUUAACCGACAAGACACCCCCUUCCUCUCCGAUUAAACCUGCUAAAUCACACACCUGGUUAGGGUGUGACUCGGGGAGAGAGAAUCGGAGAUCGGAGGUCGGAGGAGGGUGGCGCACAGCGGCGCGACAUCAGGGAAGCGAGUGAAAGAGAGGGGAACCGAGGGAGAGAAAGAGGCGUCUGCAUUGAUGAGGUGCCGCUGCUGUCGGUGAUAGUGAUGAUGUGACGAUGAAACGGUGGGAGAUUCUGGUGGGUUUGUGGCGGCGUGAUGAUGACGACGGAGAUGGUGGUUCUUGCGACGAAGGGUGAAGCCAGGCAUCCAUCUCCACCCGACAAGAACUCCAGUGAGUUCUUUUAUUUAUUUUAAUUGUUAUUUUUUUUCUUUCUUUCCGUUCACCUCCGAGUAACAACAUAACGACUGGUGUUCGUUUUUUUUUUAUUAUUGGCCGAUGAUGAUGAUGACGUUGCUGAGUGAUAACCGAUGAGAUGAUGAAGACGGUGGUGUGCGACAGUGGUGGUGUUGUGAAUAUUCAGGUUCAGUCCGCAAAAGUCAUAUUUGGUUUGGUUCAACUCGGUUUGACUCGGUCAAACCGAGUCAACUCAGUCAAAGGCGGUCAAAGGAAGUCAACUCGGGUCAGACGUGGUUCGGGUUUCACAACGGGUCAACAAGUCAAAAGUUGUGGUCAAAAUCAGAUUUCGGUUCGGUCAACAUUCGGGCUUCGAUUCCGGUUCAGAUUCGGUCGAACGGGCUCAGGUCAAAGGAUGGUCAAACGUGCUCAGCAGUCAAAGCCCGGUCAACUCACGCGACCCGGAAUACUAUAGUUGCAUGCUAACGAGUUCACGUCUUGGAGCAACAUUACGGAAAUCACACUUUAGCUAGCUUUGCACAAGGACAUCAAGGUUGCAUUUUCAAAACUAUGGAACGGUUGGAAUAGGAGAAC
Long non-coding RNA from Helianthus annuus (common sunflower), 1125 nucleotides. RefSeq lists it as uncharacterized. NCBI's taxonomy places the organism in Eukaryota, Viridiplantae, Streptophyta, Magnoliopsida, Asterales, Asteraceae. The record is from RefSeq and is a predicted model, not a curated record. The transcript is spliced from 3 exons.